This 361-nucleotide unclassified non-coding RNA is filed under the name fungal sp. RNAcentral describes it as "partial internal transcribed spacer region". The stretch from base 1 to 46 matches the Rfam family "Eukaryotic small subunit ribosomal RNA", at positions 1786 to 1831 of the family's 1831-position model. The record is from RNAcentral. Lineage: Eukaryota; Fungi.
AAGUCGUAACAAGGUUUCCGUAGGUGAACCUGCGGAAGGAUCAUUAUUGAAUAAACCUGGCAUUUGGUUCUGCAGCUGGCUCUUCUUGGGCAUGUGCUCGCCAUUGUCAUCUUUAUCUCUCCACCUUGUGCACCUCUUGUAGACCUGGACGGAUAAAACUUUUUACUUUCUUCUCAGAGGGCAACCUCUGGUCUUGAGGAUGUGCAUCUCCUUUGUUGGGGUGCUCUCCUUGUUUAAAAGAAAAAAAAGUUGUCCAGGCCUAUGUCUACACACACACCCAUUGAAUGUAACAGAAUGUAUCUAUGGGCCUUUGUGCCUAUAAAAACUUGUACAACUUUCAGCAACGGAUCUCUUGGCUCUC